UGAACGCUAGCGACAGGCCUAACACAUGCAAGUCGAGGGGCAGCACAAGGAGCAAUCUGAGGUGGCGACCGGCGCACGGGUGAGUAACACGUAUGCAACCUGCCUGUAAGCAGGGAAUAACCCGUUGAAAGACGGACUAAUACCGCAUAAUACUAAAUUACUGCAUGGUAAUUUAUUUAAACAUUUAUGGCUUACAGAUGGGCAUGCGCAUGAUUAGCUAGUUGGAGAGGUAACGGCUCCCCAAGGCAACGAUCAUUAGGGGUUCUGAGAGGAAGGUCCCCCACACUGGUACUGAGACACGGACCAGACUCCUACGGGAGGCAGCAGUGAGGAAUAUUGGUCAAUGGACGAGAGUCUGAACCAGCCAAGUCGCGUGCAGGAAGAAUGUUCCCUAUGGAUUGUAAACUGCUUUUGCAGGGGAAUAAAGUGCAUCACGUGUGAUGUUUUGUAUGUACUCUGCGAAUAAGGAUCGGCUAACUCCGUGCCAGCCGCGGC
Molecule: ribosomal RNA, 495 nt
Filed under: uncultured bacterium
Lineage: Bacteria
Description: bacterial SSU rRNA
Rfam family: Bacterial small subunit ribosomal RNA
Source: RNAcentral